UAACUACGUGCCAGCAGCCGCGGUAAUACGUAGGUGGCAAGCGUUGUCCGGAUUUAUUGGGCGUAAAGCGAGCGCAGGCGGUUUUUUAAGUCUGAUGUGAAAGCCUUCGGCUCAACCGAAGAAGUGCAUCGGAAACUGGGAAACUUGAGUGCAGAAGAGGACAGUGGAACUCCAUGUGUAGCGGUGAAAUGCGUAGAUAUAUGGAAGAACACCAGUGGCGAAGGCGGCUGUCUGGUCUGUAACUGACGCUGAGGCUCGAAAGUAUGGGUAGCAAACAGGAUUAGAUACCCUGGUAGUCCAUACCGUAAACGAUGAAUGCUAAGUGUUGGAGGGUUUCCGCCCUUCAGUGCUGCAGCUAACGCAUUAAGCAUUCCGCCUGGGGAGUACGGCCGCAAGGCUGAAACUCAAAGGAAUUGACGGGGGCCCGCACAAGCGGUGGAGCAUGUGGUUUAAUUCGAAGCUACGCGAAGAACCUUACCAGGUCUUGACAUACUAUGCAAAUCUAAGAGAUUAGACGUUCCCUUCGGGGACAUGGAUACAGGUGGUGCAUGGUUGUCGUCAGCUCGUGUCGUGAGAUGUUGGGUUAAGUCCCGCAACGAGCGCAACCCUUAUUAUCAGUUGCCAGCAUUAAGUUGGGCACUCUGGUGAGACUGCCGGUGACAAACCGGAGGAAGGUGGGGAUGACGUCAAAUCAUCAUGCCCCUUAUGACCUGGGCUACACACGUGCUACAAUGGAUGGUACAACGAGUUGCGAACUCGCGAGAGUAAGCUAAUCUCUUAAAGCCAUUCUCAGUUCGGAUUGUAGGCUGCAACUCGCCUACAUGAAGUCGGAAUCGCUAGUAAUCGCGGAUCAGCAUGCCGCGGUGAAUACGUUCCCGGGCCUUGUACACACCGCCCGUCACACCAUGAGAGUUUGUAACACCCAAAGUCGGUGGGGUAACCUUUUA
Molecule: ribosomal RNA, 947 nt
Filed under: Lactiplantibacillus plantarum
Lineage: Bacteria; Bacillati; Bacillota; Bacilli; Lactobacillales; Lactobacillaceae
Description: bacterial SSU rRNA
Rfam family: Bacterial small subunit ribosomal RNA
Source: RNAcentral